Daphnia pulex (common water flea) is the source of this 453-nucleotide long non-coding RNA. RefSeq lists it as uncharacterized. NCBI's taxonomy places the organism in Eukaryota, Metazoa, Arthropoda, Branchiopoda, Diplostraca, Daphniidae. The record is from RefSeq and is a predicted model, not a curated record. The transcript has 2 exons.
GAAAUCAAGUGCGCCCUCCAAAUCCUUCAUGGCGCUUUCAUCAAUCUUGGUGGCUCCUUUGAGCAUGACCGGAUACUACAAUUCAAGAAUUAAAACAGGAUAACAAUCAACACUAAAACAACAAAAAGGUGGAAAAAUGAAAACAACCGGAAACCCCCACUACGGACGUGGUAUUUUCCUCAAGCUCUAUCGUUGAAUAAUUGGUAGUCGGAAAAUAAAUGCCAGACGGAAAAAUUUGUAUUCAAGAGUGAUUGUAAGUAUUUUGCGAAAGAUAAACAUUUUAUUAAUAAUAAUAGAGAUUUUUCAAAAAUGGAAUGCUGGUAUCAUGUUGGAAUGCAAAAUUAUGCAGACUCCAACUUGGCCAGAGCUCCUUGAGCCCAUUGACCAAACAUCUCGGCUCCUUUUUGGUUCAAUUCUUGAUAGUCUGGAAUUUCAGCUUUGCAUGUCUCCAGC